AAAUUAAGAGAUGAAUUCUUAC
This 22-nucleotide microRNA is filed under the name Brassica rapa (field mustard). RNAcentral describes it as "bra-miR9563b-3p". The record is from miRBase by way of RNAcentral. Lineage: Eukaryota; Viridiplantae; Streptophyta; Magnoliopsida; Brassicales; Brassicaceae.